RNAcentral lists this non-coding RNA (21 nucleotides) under Caenorhabditis elegans. Lineage: Eukaryota; Metazoa; Nematoda; Chromadorea; Rhabditida; Rhabditidae. The record is from RNAcentral.
UGAACAUUGGAGACCGAUGCC